GAGGGUCAGAGGAGGGUUCAUUGGAUGUCUUGGGAACGUAUGAUAAAACCAAAGAGGGAAGGAGGGAUUGGGUUUCGUGAUAUGCAUCUAUUCAAUUUGGCGUUGUUAGCAAGAUAGAGCUGGAGACUCAUCCAAUACCCGAAAAGCCUAUGUGCUAGAGUUCUCAAGUCAAAGUACUACCCUAUUGUUGGGGAACGUAGCAAUAAUUCAAAAUUUUCCUACGUGUCACCAAGAUCAAUCUAG
Molecule: ribosomal RNA, 243 nt
Filed under: Triticum aestivum (bread wheat)
Lineage: Eukaryota; Viridiplantae; Streptophyta; Magnoliopsida; Poales; Poaceae
Description: partial small subunit ribosomal RNA
Source: RNAcentral